Molecule: ribosomal RNA, 253 nt
Filed under: uncultured bacterium
Lineage: Bacteria
Description: partial 16S ribosomal RNA
Rfam family: Bacterial small subunit ribosomal RNA
Source: RNAcentral
UACGUAGGUGGCAAGCGUUGUCCGGAUUUACUGGGCGUAAAGGGCGUGCAGGCGGUUGGUUAAGUCCAGGGUGAAAGCUCCCGGCUCAACUGGGAGAGGUCCUUGGAUACUGGCCGACUUGAGGGAGGCAGAGGAGAGUGGAAUUCCCGGUGUAGUGGUGAUAUGCGUAGAUAUCGGGAGGAACACCAGUGGCGAAGGCGGCUCUCUGGGCCUUACCUGACGCUGAGACGCGAAAGCGUGGGGAGCGAACCGG